GGGAAACACUUGAAUAGCGAAUAGGCAUAUUUGAAGCUGAUUAGUUGGCAGAUUACAGGAGUCUCCCAAAAGAAGUGUGAUGCAUAGAGGCAGCCACAAAUGCAUUCAGUGGCCAGGAUAAGAUAGAAAAACAGUUGGCUUGGAUUUUCUGAUGGUUAUGUUUCAGAAUUGAUAACCCGACUUGGCUGGACAAGUGGCUCAGUCGCAACUUUUGCCUUUCUAAUUUUGAUUUUUUUU
Molecule: unclassified non-coding RNA, 237 nt
Filed under: Hevea brasiliensis (rubber tree)
Lineage: Eukaryota; Viridiplantae; Streptophyta; Magnoliopsida; Malpighiales; Euphorbiaceae
Source: RNAcentral